CCAGAGUUCAACUGUUAGUGUUUUGCCUAUGUCUGUUUGCCACGUUGUUUGGAACUUUUCUCUAACCUCGCCUGGGGGGUCUGACAAUAACUUGUAUAAGUUGGAGAUCAGUUUGUUUGGUACCUUCCUGAUUGUGCAAAUUCCCUCAAUGUUCUUUGCUCUUUUAGGUGUGGUAACCUCUGUGUCAUGUUCCAGGAGUGACUUGAGUUGGAGGUAAGAGAACAAGGAUUGCGGCGGUAGGUCGUAUCGGUUCUGGAGGUCUGGGAAUUGCAUUAAGGUGGUAUUAUGAUAAAGAUGUUUGACUAACGUACAGCCGCCCCUUUCCCAUGGUUUGUAAUUGAAUGAGGGGUCAGCUAUGUGUAUGCUCUGUAUCGGGGUUGCUAAAGACCAUUGUUUCGUGUAUCCCAGCUGAGGUUUCGUGGCAUCCCACGUCCUCAGUAGGAGUGCUGUGGUAUCGGGUAUGCCUGUGGGCUUGGGGCGUAGGUGGUGGGGCAUCCAAAAUAGGUGGUGUAGCCCUUUUGGGCAUGUCCACAUUGUUUCUAUGUCUACCCAUUGCAGUCUAUCUUCUACCUUGUGUGUCAGCAGCACCGUGGCUAUUAGGGACGCUUUGUAGUAUGCGCUCACAUCUGGUAG
This is a non-coding RNA of Pelobates cultripes (western spadefoot toad), 633 nucleotides long. Lineage: Eukaryota; Metazoa; Chordata; Amphibia; Anura; Pelobatidae. The record is from the annotation of a GenBank genome assembly.